CUAUACAUGCAGUCGAGCGGACAGAUGGGAGCUUGCUCCCUGAUGUUAGCGGCGGACGGGUGAGUAACACGUGGGUAACCUGCCUGUAAGACUGGGAUAACUCCGGGAAACCGGGGCUAAUACCGGAUGGUUGUCUGAACCGCAUGGUUCAGACAUAAAAGGUGGCUUCGGCUACCACUUACAGAUGGACCCGCGGCGCAUUAGCUAGUUGGUGAGGUAACGGCUCACCAAGGCGACGAUGCGUAGCCGACCUGAGAGGGUGAUCGGCCACACUGGGACUGAGACACGGCCCAGACUCCUACGGGAGGCAGCAGUAGGGAAUCUUCCGCAAUGGACGAAAGUCUGACGGAGCAACGCCGCGUGAGUGAUGAAGGUUUUCGGAUCGUAAAGCUCUGUUGUUAGGGAAGAACAAGUGCCGUUCAAAUAGGGCGGCACCUUGACGGUACCUAACCAGAAAGCCACGGCUAACUACGUGCCAGCAGCCGCGGUAAUACGUAGGUGGCAAGCGUUGUCCGGAAUUAUUGGGCGUAAAGGGCUCGCAGGCGGUUUCUUAAGUCUGAUGUGAAAGCCCCCGGCUCAACCGGGGAGGGUCAUUGGAAACUGGGGAACUUGAGUGCAGAAGAGGAGAGUGGAAUUCCACGUGUAGCGGUGAAAUGCGUAGAGAUGUGGAGGAACACCAGUGGCGAAGGCGACUCUCUGGUCUGUAACUGACGCUGAGGAGCGAAAGCGUGGGGAGCGAACAGGAUUAGAUACCCUGGUAGUCCACGCCGUAAACGAUGAGUGCUAAGUGUUAGGGGGUUUCCGCCCCUUAGUGCUGCAGCUAACGCAUUAAGCACUCCGCCUGGGGAGUACGGUCGCAAGACUGAAACUCAAAGGAAUUGACGGGGGCCCGCACAAGCGGUGGAGCAUGUGGUUUAAUUCGAAGCAACGCGAAGAACCUUACCAGGUCUUGACAUCCUCUGACAAUCCUAGAGAUAGGACGUCCCCUUCGGGGGCAGAGUGACAGGUGGUGCAUGGUUGUCGUCAGCUCGUGUCGUGAGAUGUUGGGUUAAGUCCCGCAACGAGCGCAACCCUUGAUCUUAAUUGCCAGCAUUCAGUUGGGCACUCUAAGGUGACUGCCGGUGACAAACCGGAAGAAAGNGGGGGAUGACGUCAAAUCAUCAUGGCCCCUUAUGACCUGGGGCUACC
This 1188-nucleotide ribosomal RNA is filed under the name Bacillus siamensis. Its description in RNAcentral is "bacterial SSU rRNA". It matches the Rfam family "Bacterial small subunit ribosomal RNA", at positions 49 to 1218 of the family's 1533-position model. Lineage: Bacteria; Bacillati; Bacillota; Bacilli; Caryophanales; Bacillaceae. The record is from RNAcentral.